AAGACAACUUUACGGAGUUGACGAUUGACGGAGCGAAGCGACGUCAAAGCGUUCAUUAAAGUCGAGUUGGCUUAGGGAUACGUUCGUUGGGUAGGGGAGCGUUCUGUAAGCCUGUGAAGGUGGCCUGUGAGGGUUGCUGGAGGUAUCAGAAGUGCGAAUGCUGACAUAAGUAACGAUAAAGCGGGUGAAAAGCCCGCUCGCCGGAAGACCAAGGGUUCCUGUCCAACGUUAAUCGGGGCAGGGUGAGUCGACCCCUAAGGCGAGGCCGAAAGGCGUAGUCGAUGGGAAACGGGUUAAUAUUCCCGUACUUGGUGUUACUGCGAAGGGGGGACGGAGAAGGCUAUGUUGGCCGGGCGACGGUUGUCCCGGUUUAAGCGUGUAGGCUGGUUUUCCAGGCAAAUCCGGAAAAUCAAGGCUGAGGCGUGACGACGAGGCACUACGGUGCUGAAGCAACAAAUGCCCUGCUUCCAGGAAAAGCCUCUAAGCAUCAGGUAACAUCAAAUCGUACCCCAAACCGACACAGGUGGUCGGGUAGAGAAUACCAAGGCGCUUGAGAGAACUCGGGUGAAGGAACUAGGCAAAAUGGUGCCGUAACUUCGGGAGAAGGCACGCUGACACGUAGGUGAAGUGAUUUACUCAUGGAGCUGAAGUCAGUCGAAGAUACCAGCUGGCUGCAACUGUUUAUUAAAAACACAGCACUGUGCAAACACGUAAGUGGACGUAUACGGUGUGACGCCUGCCCGGUGCCGGAAGGUUAAUUGAUGGGGUCAGCGCAAGCGAAGCUCCUGAUAGAAGCCCCGGUAAACGGCGGCCGUAACUAUAACGGUCCUAAGGUAGCGAAAUUCCUUGUCGGGUAAGUUCCGACCUGCACGAAUGGCGUAAUGAUGGCCAGGCUGUCUCCACCCGAGACUCAGUGAAAUUGAACUCGCUGUGAAGAUGCAGUGUACCCGCGGCAAGACGGAAAGACCCCGUGAACCUUUACUAUAGCUUGACACUGAACAUUGAGCCUUGAUGUGUAGGAUAGGUGGGAGGCUUUGAAGCGUGGACGCCAGUCUGCGUGGAGCCGACCUUGAAAUACCACCCUUUAAUGUUUGAUGUUCUAAC
This 1104-nucleotide ribosomal RNA is filed under the name Salmonella enterica. Its description in RNAcentral is "partial 23S ribosomal RNA". It matches the Rfam family "Bacterial large subunit ribosomal RNA", at positions 1164 to 2226 of the family's 2925-position model. Lineage: Bacteria; Pseudomonadati; Pseudomonadota; Gammaproteobacteria; Enterobacterales; Enterobacteriaceae. The record is from RNAcentral.